UACAGAGGGUGCAAGCGUUAAUCGGAAUUACUGGGCGUAAAGCGUGCGUAGACGGUUAUGUAAGUCGGGUGUGAAAGCCCCGGGCUCAACCUGGGAAUUGCAUUCGAGACUGCAUAGCUAGGGUGCGGAAGAGGGAAGCGGAAUUUCCGGUGUAGCGGUGAAAUCCGUAGAUCUACGAAGGAACGCCAAAAGCGAAGGCAGCUCUCUGGGUCCCUACCGACGCUGGGGUGCGAAAGCAUGUGGAGCGAACAGG
Molecule: ribosomal RNA, 253 nt
Filed under: uncultured bacterium
Lineage: Bacteria
Description: partial 16S ribosomal RNA
Rfam family: Bacterial small subunit ribosomal RNA
Source: RNAcentral